AUUGAACGCUGGCGGCAUGCCUUACACAUGCAAGUCGAACGGCAGCACGGGAGCAAUCCUGGUGGCGAGUGGCGAACGGGUGAGUAAUACAUCGGAACGUGCCCAGUAGUGGGGGAUAACCCGGCGAAAGCCGGACUAAUACCGCAUACGACCUACGGGUGAAAGCGGGGGAUCGCAAGACCUCGCGCUAUCGGAGGGGCCGAUGUCCGAUUAGCUAGUUGGUGGGGUAAAGGCCUACCAAGGCGACGAUCUGUAGCUGGUCUGAGAGGACGACCAGCCACACUGGGACUGAGACACGGCCCAGACUCCUACGGGAGGCAGCAGUGGGGAAUUUUGGACAAUGGGCGCAAGCCUGAUCCAGCCAUGCCGCGUGCGGGAAGAAGGCCUUCGGGUUGUAAACCGCUUUUGUCAGGGAAGAAACGCUCCGGGCUAAUACCACGGAGUAAUGACGGUACCUGAAGAAUAAGCACCGGCUAACUACGUG
RNAcentral lists this ribosomal RNA (484 nucleotides) under uncultured bacterium. RNAcentral's name for it is "partial 16S ribosomal RNA". It matches the Rfam family "Bacterial small subunit ribosomal RNA", at positions 29 to 507 of the family's 1533-position model. The record is from RNAcentral.